Molecule: ribosomal RNA, 327 nt
Filed under: uncultured eukaryote
Lineage: Eukaryota
Description: partial 18S ribosomal RNA
Rfam family: Eukaryotic small subunit ribosomal RNA
Source: RNAcentral
CCCUUAGAUGUUCUGGGCCACACGCGCGCUACACUGACGAAUGCAACGAGCUUAUAACCUUGGCCGAAAGGUCUGGGUAAUCUCCAAAUUUCGUCGUGAUGGGGAUAGAUUAUUGCAAUUAUUAAUCUUCAACGAGGAAUGCCUAGUAAGCGCAAGUCAUCAGCUUGCGUUGAUUACGUCCCUGCCCUUUGUACACACCGCCCGUCGCUCCUACCGAUUGAAUGGUCCGGUGAAGCGUUCGGACCGUGGCCUUUGGACGGUUCGCCGUCUGUUGGCUGCGGGAAGUUCGUUAAACCUUAUCAUUUAGAGGAAGGAGAANUCGUAACA